GACGAACGCUGGCGGCGUGCUUAACACAUGCAAGUCGAACGGAAAGGCCCUGCUUUUGUGGGGUGCUCGAGUGGCGAACGGGGGAGUAACACGUGAGUAACUUUCCCUUGACGUGGGGAUAACUUCAGGAAACGGGGGCUAAUACCGGAUAGGAGCUCCUGCUGUAUGGUGGGGGUUGGAAAGUUUCGGCGGUUGGGGAUGGAUUCGCGGCUUAUCAGCUUGUGGGUGGGGUAGUGGCUUACCAAGGCUUUGACGGGUAGCCGGCCUGAGAGGGUGACCGGCCCCAUUGGGACUGAGAUACGGCCCAGACUCCUACGGGAGGCAGCAGUGGGGAAUAUUGCACAAUGGGCGGAAGCCUGAUGCAGCAACGCCGCGUGCGGGAUGACGGCCUUCGGGUUGUAAACUGCUUUCGCCUGUGACGAAGCGUGAGUGACGGUAAUGGGUAAAGAAGCACCGGCUAACUACGUG
RNAcentral lists this ribosomal RNA (468 nucleotides) under uncultured bacterium. RNAcentral's name for it is "partial 16S ribosomal RNA". It matches the Rfam family "Bacterial small subunit ribosomal RNA", at positions 28 to 507 of the family's 1533-position model. The record is from RNAcentral.